This 88-nucleotide transfer RNA is filed under the name Jiulongibacter sediminis. RNAcentral's name for it is "tRNA-Ser". It matches the Rfam family "tRNA". From Rfam's summary of the family: Transfer RNA (tRNA) molecules are approximately 80 nucleotides in length. The record is from RNAcentral. Lineage: Bacteria; Pseudomonadati; Bacteroidota; Cytophagia; Cytophagales; Leadbetterellaceae.
AGAGGGAUGGCAGAGUGGUCGAAUGCGGCGGUCUUGAAAACCGUUGACUGUCAAAGGUCCGGGGGUUCGAAUCCCUCUCCCUCUGCGA